UACGUAGGGUCCGAGCGUUGUCCGGAAUUACUGGGCGUAAAGCGUGCGCAGGCGGCUUCUUAGGCAUGACGUGAAAGCCCCGGGCUCAACCCGGGGAGGGUCGUCGUGAACCGGGGGGCUUGAGGCCGGUAGAGGUGGGUGGAACUCCUGGUGGAGUGGUGAAUGCGUAGAGAUCAGGAAGAACACCCGUGGCGAAGGCGGCCCACUGGGCCGGUAC
RNAcentral lists this ribosomal RNA (217 nucleotides) under uncultured bacterium. RNAcentral describes it as "partial 16S ribosomal RNA". It matches the Rfam family "Bacterial small subunit ribosomal RNA", at positions 524 to 740 of the family's 1533-position model. The record is from RNAcentral.